Long non-coding RNA from Leopardus geoffroyi (Geoffroy's cat), 2671 nucleotides. RefSeq lists it as uncharacterized. The transcript has 4 exons. Lineage: Eukaryota; Metazoa; Chordata; Mammalia; Carnivora; Felidae. The record is from RefSeq and is a predicted model, not a curated record.
GAGAGCAGUUGAGGAUUGUGGAGUGGGGAACAAGGGGAGGCGGCCUUUACUGGGCGGGGAAAGUGUCCCAAACACCGGUCUGUGGCCCUGGGAUCCUGCCAGUCGUCCACAGAGCCCCCUCCUGUCGGGAGGAGAGAAUGGCAUGACCAUAAUUCUCUAUAAAGCAAUAUGUGCCCAACAGACAGAAGAGAGUGACAGCAGGAUAUACUGACCCCAAAUGACCAUUCUGAGUUCUAGUAAGGAAUUGAACUUUGAUAUCUCAGCACAGGCGUAAUCUUGCACACGAGGAAGUUGCAACAGGGAGAAGAGCUCUGGUUGGAUCAAUGACUUGUGGGCUCACAGGGAGAAAGCUGGAGAAACAGAUUCUGUUUAAAACCCGACCAUUCGUUAUUCUGUGUGUUUUGGGUAUGGGGCUACUGACGGGAAGUAGCAAUAGAAUGAAGAAGAAAGCACAUCUUCUCAGAUUUUCUUCAUUAUUUCCAACAAGACUCAACAGGAUCAACAACGAAGGCUCUCUCUGAUUCUUGCCUCAAUUUCAUGUCUCUAAGAGCUGUGAUCUGCGUAGGAAUGAAGUGUGGUGACAUCUGCAGCUGGAAUCGUGAGCGCUUCUGGGUGCUGUGCUCCAGAGAUAAACUAAAGCUGAGCAAAAAUACUAUGACUUAAUAAUAUGAUCCUUAUGAGAACAAAAUAUUGUGUACAUCCCCAGAUGAUUAAAACUAACAUUUAUACUGUGCUUUCCAAGCCACUACAGUGGUUAUAAAUAGUUUCUCUACAAACUAUUUAUAGAGAAAUCACAUCAACCACCCACCACUUGUUAAAAUGGAGCAAGUAUUUUCACACAAAGGCAACUUUACAAAACAGCAGGGGAAUUGGUAAUGGAAGGAACAGAUAGGCUGGAAAUGACAGGCGGGAGACUUAACUGAUUUCUUCCUUUUCUAUUUUUAACCUUUAAUGUGUAAUAUAUAUUCAGAGAAAUGCACAUAAGUGUCAGCCAGCUGAAGUUUCACUAACUUAACAUACUUGCGUAGCUGGCAGCAGAUCAGGAAGUGGAAUAUUACAAACCCCCGAGUCUUCAGGUCACUGUCCUUCCAAGGUUACCUGGCGUCUUGUCUGCUAGCUGCACAGAUUAGUUUAGUUUGUUCCUAGCUUUUAUAGAAAUCGAAUGCUACCGCAUGUUUUUUUGUGGCUGGUUUCUUAGAUUUAAUUUUACGUUUGUGAGACUCAUCCAUGCUGUUUGUUCAUUCUGCUACACAGUGUCAAGUUGUGCAACCAUAACACAAUUUAUCGAUCCAUUCCAGUGUUGAUGGGCCUUUUGGUAGUUUUUGCUUUUUGACCACCACAAAUUGUGCUUCUUAUGAACAUCCUUGAUCAUAUCUUUUGGGCAUAUGUUUAGGAGUGAAAUUGCUGUCAUAGAAUAAGCACAUUUCCAUGUUAAUAGGUUCUGCCAGAUAGUUUUCCAAAUGGUUGUGCUAAUUUACACUCUCAACAGUAGUGGAGGAGAAUCCUGGUUGCUGUAUGUACUUUCCAACAUUUGUUAUUUUCUAGUGGGUGAGUAAUGCUAUCACUUUAUGCUUUCAAUUUGCAUUUCCUUGAUGACAAAGUUGAGCACCUUUUUAUAUGUGUGUCGGUUAUUUGUUUUCUUUUUUAAAGUGAUCUCUACUCCCAUCACGGGGCUUGAACUCACAACCCCAAGACCAAGGGUCACAUGCUCCACCAACUGAGUCAGCCAGGCGCCCCAUAUGUGUAUUGGUUAUUUAGAGAGCUUCUUUUGUGAAAUGUGCCUAUUCAGGGUUUUUGCCCAAUUUUCUGUUGGUUGUUUAUCUUUUUCUAGAUGUUCUAUAUAUAUACUGGAUAAUCUCUUCAUUUUCUUAUGUACAAUGUGAUUUUUAAGUGUUUAGGUUUAUGGUAGGUAUGUUCUUCAUGUUUUCACGUACUCUGUUUAUGCAGAAUAUGCAUCAAUAUGCAUCUUAGAUCCCUGUAUAUUCAGGCCUGAAAAACUUCUAACAGCACUUAGGUGAAAAAAGUAACCUUAUUCCAAAGUUGAAAGUAUUGCAUGCAAUCAGCUACCAUAAAAUGCAUCAUUAUUAAUUUAAUGACAUUUUACAUUCAUGGUCUAUUUUUUUUAUUUUUAGCUUUUUCAUAUUGCUUGAUUCAUUGCUUAAAAUGAAUAUGAAGAUAAGAAAGACAACCCUCCCUCCUCAAAUGAUCCUUUUGGCGACAGUGCCCAGUAUCUUUUUGGAGAGCCGCCUUGAUCACAGUUGGUCUGCAUGUGUUGAGCCCACUAUCAGCUUCAGCAGAGGGCAGGUACCACUGACUCAGACCUGAUCAGAUAGGCACCACAUUCCUCAGGGCAUAGCCAUUGGUUCAAGAAUGACUGUGUGAUCCAUCCGUAUCAAUGACAUAUAAUGAGAUGUCAUAUAAUGACGGAAAGGAAGCCUCUUCCAUGCUGGACUUGACUUCAGGAGGAUGUGAAGUAGAGCUGCUGUGACCUUCUUACAACCUUGAGAAGACACUCUGUUGAAAACAGAGCCAGACCAGAAGAAGCAAAGCUAAGAGAUAGAGAGAAAUGGAAUUGAAAUAACAUUUUGAGCUCCUGGAUCAAGCCAUGACUGAAGCUAGUAGUAUCUGGACUUUUCAGUAACAUGAGCCAGUAAAUUCCUUGUCUGCUUAA